Molecule: ribosomal RNA, 780 nt
Filed under: Bacillus subtilis
Lineage: Bacteria; Bacillati; Bacillota; Bacilli; Caryophanales; Bacillaceae
Description: bacterial SSU rRNA
Rfam family: Bacterial small subunit ribosomal RNA
Source: RNAcentral
CGCAGUGCGCUGCUAAUACAUGCAAGUCGAGCGGACAGAUGGGAGCUUGCUCCCUGAUGUUAGCGGCGGACGGGUGAGUAACACGUGGGUAACCUGCCUGUAAGACUGGGAUAACUCCGGGAAACCGGGGCUAAUACCGGAUGGUUGUUUGAACCGCAUGGUUCAAACAUAAAAGGUGGCUUCGGCUACCACUUACAGAUGGACCCGCGGCGCAUUAGCUAGUUGGUGAGGUAACGGCUCACCAAGGCAACGAUGCGUAGCCGACCUGAGAGGGUGAUCGGCCACACUGGGACUGAGACACGGCCCAGACUCCUACGGGAGGCAGCAGUAGGGAAUCUUCCGCAAUGGACGAAAGUCUGACGGAGCAACGCCGCGUGAGUGAUGAAGGUUUUCGGAUCGUAAAGCUCUGUUGUUAGGGAAGAACAAGUACCGUUCGAAUAGGGCGGUACCUUGACGGUACCUAACCAGAAAGCCACGGCUAACUACGUGCCAGCAGCCGCGGUAAUACGUAGGUGGCAAGCGUUGUCCGGAAUUAUUGGGCGUAAAGGGCUCGCAGGCGGUUUCUUAAGUCUGAUGUGAAAGCCCCCGGCUCAACCGGGGAGGGUCAUUGGAAACUGGGGAACUUGAGUGCAGAAGAGGAGAGUGGAAUUCCACGUGUAGCGGUGAAAUGCGUAGAGAUGUGGAGGAACACCAGUGGCGAAGGCGACUCUCUGGUCUGUAACUGACGCUGAGGAGCGAAAGCGUGGGGAGCGAACAGGAUUAGAUACCUGGGUAGUCCAA